UUUAAUCACGUUCUAACCUUUUGACAGUCAACUUUAAAGCCGUAAGCAAGCUUUCGACCCCAAAGUAACCAUCAGAGGCCAGACGGAUAGCCCGAAAGCAUUCGUUGCAAUCCUCAAUCCCGGUCGUCACAUCUACCAAGGGCUAUAACACUUCGAAAAAUCUGAAGCUACAUUCCCCCAGUCAUUUUGUAACGUCCAAAAUUGAUGUUAACCUACCACACGAAGAAAUGCACCUCAGAGCACUAAAGUACGAACAAACGAAGGUUUUAACUCCCCGAAUACCCGCAUUCCACACUCUAGAGGUUGAUUCUCCGUCGGUACGACUG
This 326-nucleotide ribosomal RNA is filed under the name Microkamienskia divaricata. Its description in RNAcentral is "partial large subunit ribosomal RNA". Lineage: Eukaryota; Fungi; Glomeromycota; Glomeromycetes; Glomerales; Glomeraceae. The record is from RNAcentral.